UUGGAUCCUCAGCCACUGCUACGGAG
This 26-nucleotide non-coding RNA is filed under the name Mus musculus (house mouse). The record is from RNAcentral. Lineage: Eukaryota; Metazoa; Chordata; Mammalia; Rodentia; Muridae.